UACGGAGGGUGCGAGCGUUAAUCGGAAUUACUGGGCGUAAAGCGCGCGUAGGCGGUUUGUUAAGUCGGAUGUGAAAGCCCCGGGCUCAACCUGGGAACUGCACCCGAUACUGGCCGACUUGAGUGCGAGAGAGGGAGGUAGAAUUCCAUGUGUAGCGGUGAAAUGCGUAGAUAUAUGGAGGAAUACCGGUGGCGAAGGCGGCCUCCUGGCUCGACACUGACGCUGAGGUGCGAAAGCGUGGGUAGCCAAACAGG
This 254-nucleotide ribosomal RNA is filed under the name uncultured bacterium. RNAcentral's name for it is "partial 16S ribosomal RNA". It matches the Rfam family "Bacterial small subunit ribosomal RNA", at positions 524 to 776 of the family's 1533-position model. The record is from RNAcentral.